This 497-nucleotide ribosomal RNA is filed under the name uncultured bacterium. RNAcentral describes it as "partial 16S ribosomal RNA". It matches the Rfam family "Bacterial small subunit ribosomal RNA", at positions 28 to 507 of the family's 1533-position model. The record is from RNAcentral.
GAUGAACGCUGGCGGCGUGCCUAAUACAUGCAAGUCGAGCGAACAGACGAGGAGCUUGCUCCUCUGACGUUAGCGGCGGACGGGUGAGUAACACGUGGAUAACCUACCUAUAAGACUGGGAUAACUUCGGGAAACCGGAGCUAAUACCGGAUAACAUGUUGAACCGCAUGGUUCAACAGUGAAAGACGGUCUUGCUGUCACUUAUAGAUGGAUCCGCGCCGCAUUAGCUAGUUGGUAAGGUAACGGCUUACCAAGGCAACGAUGCGUAGCCGACCUGAGAGGGUGAUCGGCCAGACUGGAACUGAGAAACGGUCCAGACUCCUACGGGAGGCAGCAGUAGGGAAUCUUCCGCAAUGGGCGAAAGCCUGACGGAGCAACGCCGCGUGAGUGAAGAAGGUCUUCGGAUCGUAAAACUAUGUUAUUAGGGAAGAACAAAUGUGUAAGUAACUAUGCACGUCUUGACGGUACCUAAUCAGAAAGCCACGGCUAACUACGUG